UUUGCUGUUGGCCUGUGUAAUCAGCCGCUUUCAAGACUGAGUUCUUUUAAUAAUAUCGAGAAUGAAGACUAUAAAUCAAAUACAGGCAAAGAAUAUUUAAGACAUCCUGAUUCAUAUUUACCUCCGAUGCAUUUUCCAAGUGAAACGGAUGGGGAAAGCUCUAUGAACGAGGGACCGAUUUCAAGGAGAGAAACUUAAAGCCGAAGAACAAUAAUUGAGAAUUCAGAGGAGGCGUACCUAUUUCCAUGCGCUGUCAAAGAAAUGGGCUCCAAUAGCAAUAUUUCAGUUCGUCUCUGUUGAAUUGAAGAUUCCGAACUGGAAGAAUUUUUGCCACAACAUCAAAAAA
Long non-coding RNA from Drosophila ananassae, 346 nucleotides. RefSeq lists it as uncharacterized. NCBI's taxonomy places the organism in Eukaryota, Metazoa, Arthropoda, Insecta, Diptera, Drosophilidae. The transcript has 3 exons. The record is from RefSeq and is a predicted model, not a curated record.